UUUAACGUGUUUAAAGCAUUUAUUUAUUAACACAGACAAGUGAUACUUUCUAUAUACAUUUUAGUAGACGUAGAAUUACAGUAAAAACAGACAACACAUUGCUGCAGUUUCACAGCUGAUACAGUAUGUUUCAAAUCUUUCGUUGUGUUUAUUUCUUUGUAUUUAAGAAUAUAUUGUUCAGCUUAGAAAUAACAAAAAAGGUUAUUUUGACGUUUCACAGUAGGGUUAAAAAUCUAGACGAUCUUAGUAAUAUUUAUCAGCCACAUAUGAAUGUUCUCCUCACUUUCGCCCAUCUGAUAUUGUAACCUAUUUGUAGAAUUUCAUGCCUUGACUCAUGCUUCAAUUCAUGACUUAUCAAUGUCAUCUUAUUUAGUUCUCUAGUUUGAAUUGGUUUACAUUUGUUAAAUGUGUCCCUUUAUAGCUAUCUAUGCGGUAUUGGAUUGUUCAGUAUUAAAGGUCGUACGGUGACAUAUAGUCGUUAAUGUGUGUGUCUUUUUGUCUCCUGUGAAUAGUUGUCUCAUUGGCAAUUACACAACAUCUUCUUUUUUUUUUAAAUUUUAUAUAUAUAUAUAGCAGCAUUUGAUUACCAUAUUUGCAAUUGAUUAUUUACUAUACUAGUAUAUAAAACUAUUGUGAUGCUGAGCUAGACAUGUCAUUUUGAGAUAUGAUUUUUUAAUCGCAAUGGCAAUAAUGAUCAAGAAAAACUUUUACAAUCAUUCAGUUAUGUAUACGUAUUAACUAUAUUUUAAUGAAAGUUGUAAUAAUGUAUGGUAUUUUAAUAACUUUUCAUCAUGAAAUAUAUAUUAGUAUCCUAUGUUAAGGCGUGGUAUACAUUUUAUUUGUUAGAUGCAUUGCUAUGGUCGAAAGGGUAUUUACAAAGAAAAUAUGGAAAAAAGUAUUUUAAAACACCUCCCUUGAUACAUCAUAUCGCAUACAUACACAUUAAACAUUAUAUGACAGUCAUACAAUACUUAUCCAUACCACAGCCAUACAAUGUUAGUGCGUAUCACAGCUUUACAAUUUUAUAGAGUGUGCAUUCACAGUAAUUCUGAUUACAUCAUGAUAGAUAACAAAGCUUCCUUAAAAAAUGUAAACGUUUAAAAACUAAUGUGCAGAACAAGAACACGAUGACAUUGUGUGGGUCUGUUCCAUGAAUAUGAGUUGAUUUUCUGGUCUAUUUCUAUAUUUUUAGCAAAUUAUAGACAGUAGUUUCGAUACAAGUCUGGUUGGUUAUAUGCAUUCAUGUUACUUUUAUUGUUCUCUUUUAUAGAUUUAAUAUGUUUCUAAUUUGACUACCCAGUACUCUUCUAGAUAAAUUUUAUUCGAUCAGUUGUUUUAUAUCAAGUUAUAUAAUUUAUGUCCUUAAUAUAUCACGCUAUUCAACUGUAUUGCAACGCUAAUUUAGACUUUAAAUGACUGUCGUGGAUGCUGUAUGGUCAUGAUCAGUUAUCGUAUGGUCAGUUGAAUGAUCCACAUUGUAGCGUUUAUCUUUACUUUCUGAUUCAACUCCCCUUUUGCAAGAAACGAGAUUCCUCAUACUUCGCCUAAAACGUUUGUCAAAAAUAAAAUAUAUUAUUGGAUUUGCAACAUGGUUGACGAUGUAACAUCUUUCAGCAAUUUUCAAAGUCGAAAAUGCGAAUUCAUUGAUAUCGCUCUCAUCAAACCAGUCCUUUGCAACUUUCAGAAAAAAAAGAGGAAUAUAGCUCAGUGCAAACACCACUGAAAUAGUAAAAGCAAUUUUUGUCAUCUUUUCGGAAAUAUUGCCGUCAGAAGUUUGUGUAUGAGGACAAAGUCGUUUUUGGCGUUGUAGGUAAAUUUUCCUGGCUAUCAGUGAAUAAAGCACAAACAAAAUUACAGUGUAGAUCGAAAAUAAACAUACAUUGAAAGUACUAUAUACAAUCGAGUACUUCGAAGGAUGCUCAGCAGUAAUUGGACAGGUGCGAGUAGUAAUGUUAUUUUGUAAUUUUAUCGCAUCAAUAUCAAUUAAUACUGUUUGUGGCCAUGACAGUAGUAUCCCGAUAACAAAACAGACUAUUAUAAAAUAAUGAAUGUUCUUGACAGAAAUUUGAGUUUUGACCGAAUAACAGAUUUGUCUGAAUCUAUGCACUGAUAGUAACAUCACCAGAUGAGCAGAAUAUAUGAAUCCAAAUACAAUGACUCCUGUGAUAAUUUUACACGCCCACCGUCCAUCAAAUGUAUAAUAAUGAACAAUACGAGCAAUAUUAAAUGGUAUGCCUAAACUGCAGAAAAUUAGAUCAACAACAGCCAGAUUACAAAUGAGAACUCUGAACACACCUUUGGAAUACUUGGUACCGUAUAUGAAUAAAACGGCUAAAUUGCCUGGUAUUCCAAAAAUCAACAAUAGGCAAAGAAAUGAAAUCGGUGCAAUGAAACGUCCGAUAUGUUUAUCCAUUAUAUCAUCAAGCGUGAUUGUUUCAUUCAUUUUAAAUGUUUCGUAGCCACAAUUCUGCAGUAUACGUUAUCUACAUACAAAACGGAUAACUGCUCGCUGCUUAUACAAUCAGAUAUGAAAGUGAAUGAUAUGAAAGUAAUAUAUUUUAUUUAUAAAUUAAUUGUUUCUAUGUACAUUUCAUCAUGUCAUGCGUAGGUGUUAAACAAUAUAUUCUGUGUAAAUUAUCAACACCGCAGACAAUGCGGAAAUGAGCAGUUUAAUUUUAGAAGAAAACAUCCACACAUUCUACGCACAUAAUAAAUCAUAUUCAAC
This 2725-nucleotide long non-coding RNA is filed under the name Mytilus galloprovincialis (Mediterranean mussel). Lineage: Eukaryota; Metazoa; Mollusca; Bivalvia; Mytilida; Mytilidae. The record is from RNAcentral.